GGGGGCGAAACGGCUUCGACGGGGAUAAAGAAGUUCGGGUUGCAUACCAAGCGCUUACCUGCUUGUAAAAAAGGUGGGAACUAAACAUAAUCGCAGAUGAUUAUAAUUACGCUUUAGCCGCUUAGGGCUAACGUCCUGCCGGACCAUUCCUGCUAAUCCGGUAAGGGCGUCGACUAGCAGGAUAGCCGAUCCACGGAACGGCGAAAAAUCUUACAGGAUAGCCUUUCAAGCAUCCAGCCUGGAGGAGACUUGAAAAGGCGAAAACUAGAGUUCAGGAUAUGUAUGUAGAAGCCUGUGCGGAAUGUUUUCGGACGCGGGUUCGACUCCCGCCGCCUCCACCA
This 341-nucleotide transfer-messenger RNA is filed under the name Desulfobacterales. RNAcentral's name for it is "JAAXQD01 sp012974475 Standard tmRNA". It matches the Rfam family "transfer-messenger RNA". Rfam says of the family: Bacterial tmRNA, also known as 10Sa RNA or SsrA, is named for its dual tRNA and mRNA-like properties. RNAcentral also lists the same sequence under 1 other name. The record is from RNAcentral. Lineage: Bacteria; Pseudomonadati; Thermodesulfobacteriota; Desulfobacteria.